UCAAACUUGGUCAUUUAGAGGAAGUAAAAGUCGUAACAAGGUUUCCGUAGGUGAACCUGCGGAAGGAUCAUCAAAGUGGUCUGUGGGUGUGUGGAGACACACACCACCAAUCUUGUGUGAACUGUUGUUCUGUGGUGUGUGUUGGUGUGUGAUGUGCUAGGGCACUCCCACCAGCAUCACAAAUCUCUCUCAACCUUUGUCUAACAUGUACCCACAAUCUAAAACAACUUUUAACAAUGGAUCUCUUGGCUCUCGCAUCGAUGAAGAACGCAGC
Molecule: unclassified non-coding RNA, 274 nt
Filed under: uncultured fungus
Lineage: Eukaryota; Fungi
Description: partial contains small subunit ribosomal RNA, internal transcribed spacer 1, and 5.8S ribosomal RNA
Rfam family: Eukaryotic small subunit ribosomal RNA (bases 1-73)
Source: RNAcentral